GGAUUCCCCUAGUAACUGCGAGUGAAGCGGGAAAAGCUCAAAUUUAAAAUCUGGUAGUCUUUGGCUGCCCGAGUUGUAAUCUAGAGAAGCGUUAUCCGCGCUGGACCGUGUAUAAGUCUCCUGGAAUGGAGCGUCAUAGAGGGUGAGAAUCCCGUCUUUGACACGGACUACCAGGGCUUUGUGAUGCGCUCUCAAAGAGUCGAGUUGUUUGGGAAUGCAGCUCUAAAUGGGUGGUAAAUUCCAUCUAAAGCUAAAUAUUGGCGAGAGACCGAUAGCGAACAAGUACCGUGAGGGAAAGAUGAAAAGAACUUUGGAAAGAGAGUUAAACAGUACGUGAAAUUGUUGAAAGGGAAACGCUUGAAGUCAGUCGCGUUGGUCAGGGAUCAACCUUGCUUUUUGCUUGGUGUACUUCCUGGCUCACGGGUCAGCAUCAAUUUUGACCAGUGGAAAAAGGUCAAGGGAAUGUGGCAUCUUCGGAUGUGUUAUAGCUCUUGGUCGUAUACAUUGGUUGGGAUUGAGGAACUCAGCACGCCGCAAGGCCGGGUUUUUAACCACGUUCGUGCUUAGGAUGCUGGCAUAAUGGCUUUAAUCGACCCGUCUUGAAACACGGACCAAGGAGUCUAACAUGCCUGCGAGUGUUUGGGUGGAAAACCCAAGCGCGUAAUGAAAGUGAAAGUUGGGAUCUCUGUCGUGGAGAGCACCGACGCCCGGACCAGACCUUCUGUGACGGAUCCGCGGUAGAGCAUGUAUGUUGGGACCCGAAAGAUGGUGAACUAUGCCUGAAUAGGGUGAAGCCAGAGGAAACUCUGGUGGAGGCUCGUAGCGAUUCUGACGUGCAAAUCGAUCGUCGAA
RNAcentral lists this ribosomal RNA (852 nucleotides) under Entoloma aff. iodiolens JC-20110804.1. Its description in RNAcentral is "eukaryotic LSU rRNA". It matches the Rfam family "Eukaryotic large subunit ribosomal RNA", at positions 72 to 909 of the family's 3401-position model. Lineage: Eukaryota; Fungi; Basidiomycota; Agaricomycetes; Agaricales; Entolomataceae. The record is from RNAcentral.